This 67-nucleotide transfer RNA is filed under the name Parvasolenaia rivularis. RNAcentral's name for it is "Solenaia rivularis tRNA-Phe". Lineage: Eukaryota; Metazoa; Mollusca; Bivalvia; Unionida; Unionidae. The record is from RNAcentral.
GAAGACAGUAGCUUAAACUGAAUAAAGCAUAACACUGAAAAUGUUAAGACAGUACACCUCUUCUUCA